AUCCCGGCCGGGGUACAAGCCUCGUCCCUUCGGCGUGGAAACAUUCUCGCUGGCGGCGCGCGAUGCUGCUAUGGCGGUCUACGGGACGAAGGCGACUCCACCAGUUUACUGUCUCACCAACUGAACGAUUGACGUCGGAGGCAGCAAGAUCCACGGGACGGAGGCGGAGGCGGCAGAGGCAGCUAAAGGACGGAGGCGCCCAAGAUCCGUCGUGGCUUCUUCACCGUCUAAUCCAAGCGAACAAGGUCGUGGUGGCUACUUCUCGCCGAUUAUUCCUGCACCGGUUCGAGUUGGAGAAGACGAACUUCCACCGUCUUGGGAUCCAAUAUCCUCUCCAUUAGUUACAAGGGCCAAGUCAUGCAUGAAGUAGCUCCAGUCUUUAGAGGAAGAAUGUCUUCUCUGUCUGUCAAAGAUAUGGAUCCAUGAUCUCGUCAUGGUCAUCACACUAGUGAUGUAUUCUUUUGCAACUUAAGUGAUGUAGUUUUUGCAACUUAUUAGUGUCAACAGACACGAGAUUAUUAUGCUUGUUGUAAUAAGGUUGUCUUCAUCGUAACAAAACUUGCUUGUCUCUA
Molecule: long non-coding RNA, 572 nt
Organism: Zea mays
Lineage: Eukaryota; Viridiplantae; Streptophyta; Magnoliopsida; Poales; Poaceae
Exons: 3
Source: RefSeq, a predicted model, not a curated record